This 322-nucleotide ribosomal RNA is filed under the name Candida albicans. RNAcentral's name for it is "LSU rRNA". It matches the Rfam family "Eukaryotic large subunit ribosomal RNA", at positions 331 to 670 of the family's 3401-position model. Lineage: Eukaryota; Fungi; Ascomycota; Pichiomycetes; Serinales; Debaryomycetaceae. The record is from RNAcentral.
AGACCGAUAGCGAACAAGUACAGUGAUGGAAAGAUGAAAAGAACUUUGAAAAGAGAGUGAAAAAGUACGUGAAAUUGUUGAAAGGGAAGGGCUUGAGAUCAGACUUGGUAUUUUGCAUGCUGCUCUCUCCGGGGGCGGCCGCUGCGGUUUACCGGGCCAGCAUCGGUUUGGAGCGGCAGGAUAAUGGCGGAGGAAUGUGGCACGGCUUCUGCUGUGUGUUAUAGCCUCUGACGAUACUGCCAGCCUAGACCGAGGACUGCGGUUUUUACCUAGGAUGUUGGCAUAAUGAUCUUAAGUCGCCCGUCUUGAAACACGGACCAAG